AUUCUUUUUAAUAAAAUUUAAUUUCAUUAGCAAAUCCUUAAAAAAAAUGUAUUUGAAAACAAAUUUAAAAAUUAAUAAGUGUAUUUUGGUCGUCCAGAAAUAAAUAAGAUAGUUUUUAAAUUUUGAAGAAUAUAUUAGAUAUUAUACCAGGCGUAUUAUUAUUACAAGUUAAAUCCUCAUAUUUUAUUUGAUCUUAAAAUUUUACGUGUAUUUCACAUCCAUCAUGUAUAUAUUAAGCGUGUUUUCUAAAAAUGUGAAUAUAUAUUUCAUAUUCUGUGCUAAUUUUUCUGUGAGGCGGUGCAUU
This 304-nucleotide long non-coding RNA is filed under the name Ananas comosus (pineapple). Its description in RNAcentral is "long non-coding RNA (ACOM_LNC035628)". Lineage: Eukaryota; Viridiplantae; Streptophyta; Magnoliopsida; Poales; Bromeliaceae. The record is from RNAcentral.